RNAcentral lists this long non-coding RNA (783 nucleotides) under Fragaria vesca (wild strawberry). Its description in RNAcentral is "long non-coding RNA (FVES_LNC001777)". Lineage: Eukaryota; Viridiplantae; Streptophyta; Magnoliopsida; Rosales; Rosaceae. The record is from RNAcentral.
AAGUCCACUUUAAGACAUUUUAUCAUAUAGAGGACACCCAAACAUUUUUACCCACAUAAGUCCAUCCAAGCCUAAAUAAAGGUAUUGAAGUUUAAUUAAAUUAUAGACUGCCAUCCAACAAAAAAAAUUAGAUUUUCUCUCUUAUAUUUACAAAAAUAUCACUAAUGUAAAAAGUCAACAACCACCCUCCUCUCUGGAAAAGUCUCCGGCAGACCUCCGGCGAGGUCUUUGACGGACUCCGGCCGACCUCCGGCGAUGUCUCUAGCCGACUUCCGGCAAGGUUUCCGACGGUUACGAAAGCUACUACCGCUAGCAAGAAAAGCUAUUAUCCUUAGCUAGAAACCGACUACAAAAGCUACUACCGUCAGCAAGAAAAACUACUACCGCCAGCAAAAAAACCUACUACCGCUAGCAACAAAAGCUACUAUCCCUAGCUAGAAAAGCUACUACCACCGACUACAAAAGCUAUUAUCGCCAGCAACAAAAGCUAUUAUCUCUAGCUACAAAAGUUACUACAGUCAACAACAAAAGCUACUACCGCCACCAACAAAAGCUACUACUGUCACCAACAAAAACUACUACCGAUAUAAACAAAAGCUACUACCCCUAUAAACAAAAGCGACUGCCACCAAAAAGCUACUACCGAGAUAAACAAAAGCUACUACCAACAUAAACAAAAGUUACUACCGCCAUAAACAAAAGCUACUACCAACAUAAAAAAAGCUAUUAUCACCGUCAACAAAAGCUACUACGAACCGUCACCUACAAAAGCUACUACCGCCA